RNAcentral lists this ribosomal RNA (1418 nucleotides) under human gut metagenome. RNAcentral's name for it is "bacterial LSU rRNA". It matches the Rfam family "Bacterial large subunit ribosomal RNA", at positions 494 to 1990 of the family's 2925-position model. The record is from RNAcentral.
AGCAGUACCGUGAGGGAAAGGUGAAAAGGACCCCGGGAGGGGAGUGAAAGAGAACCUGAAACCUUGUGCUUACAAGCAGUCAGAGCGCGUUAAAGCGUGAUGGCGUACUUUUUGUAGAACGGUCCGGCGAGUUAUAGUAACGAGCAAGCUUAAGGUAUUCAGUACCGGAGGCGCAGCGAAAGCGAGUCUGAAAAGGGCGCAUGAAGUUCGUUGCCAUAGACCCGAAACCGGGUGACCUACGCAUGAGCAGGUUGAAGUGGGGGUGAAACCCCAUGGAGGACCGAACCGACCCCCGUUGCAAUGGUGGCGGAUGACUUGUGGGUAGCGGUGAAAUUCCAAUCGAACUCGGAGAUAGCUGGUUCUCCCCGAAAUAGCUUUAGGGCUAGCGUUAGUUUAGAUUACCGGAGGUAAAGCACUGAAUGGUUUAGGGGCUGAUAAAGUUACCGACGCCUAUCAAACUCUGAAUGCCGGAUAAUUGAUGCACAGCAGUCAGACAGUGUGAGAUAAGUUUCAUUGUCAAAAGGGAAACAGCCCAGACCUACAGCUAAGGUCCCAAAUGUAUGCUAAGUGGAAAACGAUGUGGAAUUGCGAAAACAACCAGGAUGUUGGCUCAGAAGCAGCCACACAUUAAAAGAGUGCGUAAUAGCUCACUGGUCGAGUGACUCUGCGCGGAAAAUGUAACGGGGCUAAGCAUGCAACCGAAGCUUAGGAUUGUCUAAAGACAGUGGUAGGGGAGCGUUCUGUACGGGGUGAAGUCGCAGCGGGAGCAGCGGUGGACUGUACAGAAGUGAGAAUGCCGGAAUGAGUAGCGAGAAUUAUGUGGGAAUCAUAAUGGCCGAAAAUCUAAGGUUUCUUGGGGAAGGUUCGUCCGCCCAAGGUAAGUCGGGAGCUAAGCUGAGGCCGAGAGGCGUAGGCGAUGCACAUACGGUAGAAAUUCCGUAACCACCGAACUUUAAGCAUGAGGGACACUUUGAGAUAGCGGGACCCGGGCGUUGGUAGACCCGGGCGAAAGGGACCGAAAUAUAGUAGGGAAGUCCGCGAUGCUCGGAGGCGAGAAAAGCUCAUGUGUAUACUAAGGUGCCCGUACCGCAAACCGACACAGGUAGAUGAGGAGAGAAUCCUAAGGCCAACGGGAGAAGGGUUGUUAAGGAACUCGGCAAGAUGACCCCGUAACUUCGGAAGAAGGGGAGCCUCGAAAGAGGCCGCAGUGAAUAGGCCCAAGCAACUGUUUACCAAAAACACAGGUUUAUGCUAAAUCGAAAGAUGACGUAUAUGAGCUGACGCCUGCCCGGUGCCGGAAGGUUAAGAGGAGAUGUGAGCCGCAAGGUGAAGCAUUGAAUUGAAGCCCCGGUAAACGGCGGCCGUAACUAUAACGGUCCUAAGGUAGCGAAAUUCCUUGUCAGGUAAGUUCUGACCCG